AUCUGGCUUAGUUAGGAGGCAAACAUAAAUAUUCUGAUCAUUCAAUACUUUUCUGUAUUGUUUUUGGUCGUUUGAGGCUCUUUUUUUGGUUUCUUUUGAGGAGGAGCAAUUGAAUUAUCUUCAAUUGCAAGCUUCUUCUUACCAAAAAGCUUCCGACAUUA
This 161-nucleotide small nucleolar RNA is filed under the name Brassica napus (rape). Its description in RNAcentral is "Small nucleolar RNA U19". It matches the Rfam family "Small nucleolar RNA U19". The record is from Rfam by way of RNAcentral. Lineage: Eukaryota; Viridiplantae; Streptophyta; Magnoliopsida; Brassicales; Brassicaceae.